This 121-nucleotide ribosomal RNA is filed under the name Duganella levis. Its description in RNAcentral is "partial 16S ribosomal RNA". It matches the Rfam family "Bacterial small subunit ribosomal RNA", at positions 1 to 115 of the family's 1533-position model. The record is from RNAcentral. Lineage: Bacteria; Pseudomonadati; Pseudomonadota; Betaproteobacteria; Burkholderiales; Oxalobacteraceae.
AGAUUAAACUAAAGAGUUUGAUCCUGGCUCAGAUUGAACGCUGGCGGCAUGCCUUACACAUGCAAGUCGAACGGCAGCACGGAGCUUGCUCUGGUGGCGAGUGGCGAACGGGUGAGUAAUA